GGGGGUGGGGAGCCAGGAUUUGCGGGUUCGGGUCCCAGAAGGAUCCAGUGUCCGGAGCCCCGAGGGCCGGCCCGAGGCCCCUCCCACUCCGUCAGGUCUUUGUCCAGCGGCCCCUGUGUGUGAGGGAGGGGGGGGUGGGGACUGGGUUCCAGGCCCGGAGAUUCCCCAGCAUCGUGACGGGGCAGUGACAGGAGACUGAGGCCACUUGGGGCCCUGCGGGCCCUGCGACCCUCACACCCACACCCUGCCUUUCUUCUCUACUGGCCCGAGAGAGCUUAGCCCCCAUCUCGGAGUCAGAGUGUUGCAGGAAGCCACAUUUACCUUCACCCGUGGGUUAUAGGCUGCCAGGGGGACCCUCUGAGCUCCCAGCUCUCUCUCAUGAGCCCUUUAAACUUCCCCACUCUUGGUCUACACAGUGAUUCCCUUGCUAAGGAAAUCGCUUUAUAGAGGGUCCUCUGUAAGGGUUGGGCACACAGUAAAGGUUGGGUGCUCAGCAAAGGUAGGUCUGCCUUCUCGACCCUUCCAGUCCCCGUGGCCUCUCCGGCGGAGGAGAUCUGGAAAAGGGGCUGUGCGAGGGCGAGCGUGAGCGGCCUGGAGCCUGCGCCCAGCAGCGGCCGGGAGCCUGGAGCGCAGGGGUGGGUGGACGGGUGGGUGGGCUGUUAAAGGGACGGUCACUAAAUCAGGAUUAGGCCGUGGGGCUGUCAGGCUGCCAGGCCCUGUCUCCAUGGAUACCUAAUUUGGAGGAGAAUAGAGGACGGAAGAAUGUUUGUGUUGUCGUACGCCAGGGCCGCCAGGGCCGCAGCGGCUGAGCGGACCUCAGCCCUCGGCCAGGCAGCGAGAAAUGGCAAGCCGGUUCGAAUCCCACUCUGGCCUUCCGCGGGGCAGGAGACCUUCUCGGUGCUCGGGCUCCAGAGCCUUCCCUGUGGAGUCGCUGGAGUGGGCCAGAUAGUGCCGUGGUCCAAAGAACUCUGACCCUGCACAGGGAGCCCGAGACCCACCCAGAGUUCAACCCGAAUCCCCGUGCGUCCUUCUGGGAACGGCCGGACUGGGGUUCUCCCGAGCCCCCAUCCAGGAAUUCCGAGCCGGGAGCAAACGCCGUUCUCUGCUGUGCAGUGGCCCUGGGAGGACAGUCGGACCGGGCAGCUCAGUACUUGGCGCUGCGGGACCCAGCCGCGCGCGGGUACCAGGCGGCCGCCGGAGCGGCGGGGCAGGGGGCGGGGCGGGACUUCCUGGGGUGGGCGAGAAAGGGGCGGGGCCUGCCGCCGGCCUCACUCCGCUGGUGACAGGCCUCGUAAAUCCCCCUCUCCCGUAUUUAGCGCCGUUUCAUUAAUUUCCACUUGAUUCCAGUGGUGUUCCCAACAGCCACCCCUGUCAGGAGCGACCCUCGUGCUCUCCCAGUAGUAUAUUCUCAGGAGAGCCCUCUUGGGGCUAAAAGGAAUUAGCUUUGUGGGGCAGUGGAGUUGCCCGACACCCCCCACUUUUCAGGGGACCCCCAUCUCCCCGGGAGCAGAAGAGGAGGGCAGAGAGACACAGGGAUGUGUUGGGCCUGCGGGGGCCUGCGGGAUUUUCUGGCUGUGGCAUAAAGGUGGGCUGGGCUGAGGAUCCCGUGGGUGGACAAUUCCAGUGCGCAGACUGGAGGGGGGCAGGAGAGGGACCAGACCGGAUUGUGUUGUUCUCAGAGCCUUUUCCUGCCUUCCUCCUGGUCAUCCAUGGCCACAGCUUUUUAUGGAGCAAGCAUCCCCUCCCCUCCCCUCCCUGGGCUGCAGCUUUAUUGCUGAGACCUCAGACUCUCCACGCAAUUUCACGCCUCUCUGCCUUUGCUCUUGCUGUUCCCUCAGCCAAAUGCCUUCCCCAUUGUCCCUGUCUCUCCACAACCUCCUCAUUCUUCAAGGCCCAACUCAGAUGCCACACUUCCCCCAUGUAGCCUCCCCAGAGCCCCCAGCUCUUGUCACUUGCUCCUCUCUGCACAUUCUAGCCCUGCACCUGUGCCUCCCAUCAGCCUCUGUGGCUGAGUCCACACUAGGCUUUGCCUCCUGGAGGACAGAGCUGGAGCGCAAACUUCCCUGUCCCCCAUCCCCACUGGGCUUGGCACAGGGCCUGUCACCUUGUGGGUGCUCCGUAAAUAUUUGUUGGCUGAAUGAAAGGGUUUUCUUUUUUUCUUUCUUUUCUUUCUUUCUUUCUUUCUUUCUUUCUUUCUUUCUCUUUUCUUUCUUUUCUUUCUUUCUUUCUAAGGGCAGCCUGCGAAGCAUGGCAUCCGGACACUUUCAGGCAAAUAGCUCUGUGCUCCUGGGUGGGUGGAGACCCCUGGGUGGGUCUCUUCCUCCUCCUCCUUGCUGACCCUCCCCCACCCCAAGUCCGGGGAGGACUUUGCCCCUUCCUUUCCCCACAGGCCAGCAUUCUUUCCCUGCCAUUAUCAUCCUGUUAAACAGAGAGGCCAGUCAGGAUCCAUAUGGAUCACAUUAACAAUUGCUUAUUAUCUGGGCCAAGGCUGCCCCCACUCUCCACCCCCAGCUCCUACUGCUGCAGUUGCUGGACCCUUAGGAGCCCAGCCUCCCUGCCUCCCCCUCCCCCACCAUUGGUCCGUCAGGGAGGGCAGGGGCUAGGCUGGUCUCCUGACUCUCCCUGUGCCUUCUCGUGGAACUUGCCGCUUGUGGACUCGGUUGGCAGUUAAUGAUGCCUCUACCUGAUUUAACGAAAACCUAGUUCCCCGCAGGACCUUGGCUCAGUGACGUUCCAGGGCUGCCACAGGGAGAGGGGGCCCUGAGGCCAGGUACACCUGCGGUCAGCAAUACCAAGAGCCUCGGCCUUCCAGUGGGCUGGGGUGAACCCCACUAGGCCGACCAUGGGGUGUAGUGGUGUCUCCUGCCAUCUCAGCCCUGGGCUGGCCCUGCUCCCUUUGGGAGCUAGCAGACUAGUGAGCAAGAGCAAGGCAGGAGAGACCUUGCCGGGCUGUGUGGGUCCCGAGCCAUGUGCUGCAGUCAAAGAAGCAAGAAAUCCAAGUUUCCAGAGUGGCUGCUGAGUCGGUCUUGAAGGAUGAGGAAUGGAAUUUAUGUUUAAAUGCAGAAAGCCCAAGAAUACUAGGAGUGGAAGGGAUUGUCAAGAUUGCCCAGGCUUGGGUCCAUAACUGUUUUUUGAUUUACAGACCCCUUAGAGGAAGGACAAAAGCCGUCCCCAGAAAAAUGCACUCCAUCAAUCAAUACCAGACCUUGUGUUCUACUUUGGAGGGUUCCUAGACCCCCUGAACCCACAGGAACCCCGCGUCCAGAAACCCUCGCCCUAGUCCAGGUCCCCCUGAAGUGCCGGGAGCAGAGUGGGGCCUGCAGCCCGGGCCUCCUGCCCUCUCCUCUGUGGCAGGUGGACAGGAUGAGCUAUGAGACCAGGGGUAUCAGACGGAGCUGUCGGGGCUGGCUUUGAGUGGGAAAGGUUCAGGCUGCCUGGGUUGGGUAUGGGCUAGUCGUCUCAUCUCUGUGUCCCCUGCAGAGAGGAUGUCCGGGGUUGUUUGUUUUAGGACCCACUCAUUCCCAGGAACAAGGCUGCAGGGCAAGAAAGUCUAGCUCUUCUCUGAGCCUUCUUUUAAGUGUCUUGAUGAAGCAUGGCUAACUCAUAGCGCUUAUUGCAUAUUCUGUAUCUCAUCUGUGAAAUGGGACUGAUCUUGGUGCCGUCCUCAUAAGCAUUAUCCUGGGGAUGAAAUGAGGCAGGCGCUGGGAGCCCUGUGUCCUAGUCUUGAAAGACUGUGGGCCUGUGAGGCCCUAAUCGGAAGUGCAGAGACAGUGCUCAGGGCUCUAGAGAUUUUCUGUGACUUAUAAUGAGGUUUUGUCCUGAUAAAUCCAUCAGAAGUUGAAAAUAUUAUAAGUCAGGUGUUCCCAUUGUGGCUCAGUGGGUUAAGGACCCGAUGAUGCCUCUGUGAGGAUGUAGGUUCGAUCCCCGGCCUCAUUCAUUGGGUUAAGGAUCUGGCGUUGUGGCAUGCUAUGGUGUAGGUCACAGAUGCGGCUCGGAUCUGGCGUUGCUGUGGCUGUGGCGUAGGCUGUAGCAGCCGCUUCCAUUCGGGGCCCGGGAACUUGCAUCUGGCAGAGGUGCGGCCAUUAAAAAGAAAAGAUAUUGUCAAAGAUGCAUUUAAUACACCUGACCUACUGAACCUCAGAGCUUAGCCGAGCCUACCUUAUAGGUGCUCCGUAUACUUACAUUAGCCUACAGCGGGGCAGAAUCAUCUAACACGAAGCGUAUUUUAUAAUAAAGUGGUCGAUAUUGCGUAUAAGUCAUGAAAGACGGUACUGCAAGGGAAAAACAGAAUGGCUUGAUGGUGCAGAAUGGCUGUGAGUGUUUCUGCUGUUUAGCCUCGUGAUUGCCCGGCUGACUGGGAGCUGCAGCUCACUGCCACGGCCCAGCAGGGGAUCACACGUGGGUUGUACCUCGCUAGCCUAGGAAAAGAUCAAAAUUCACAAUUCAAAGUACAAUUUCUAGGAGUUCCCGUUGUGGCUCAGUGGUUAAUGAAUCCAAUGAGGAAUGAUGAGGUUGUGGGUUCGAUCCCUGGUCUUGCUCAGUGGGUUGGGGAUCUGGCGUUGCUGGGAGCUGCGGUGCAGGUUGCAGAUGCUGUGGCUGGGGCCUAGGCUGGCAGCUACAGCUCCGAUUAGACCCCUAGCCUGGGAACCUCCAUAGGCUGCAGGUGUGGCCCUAAAGAGACAAAAAGACAAAAAAAAAAAAAAAAAAAAAAAAAAAG
This 4717-nucleotide long non-coding RNA is filed under the name Sus scrofa (pig). RNAcentral describes it as "lncRNA (ENSSSCG00055015687.1)". Lineage: Eukaryota; Metazoa; Chordata; Mammalia; Artiodactyla; Suidae. The record is from RNAcentral.